AAGCAUCAUCGUGGCUCCCGGGAACUCUAUGACAAGUGUCUUCUGCAUUGUGGCCAAUGUCGUUAUUAACAUCCUCAGCAGUGGACCACUGAAAAUUGUGGGCUCUGUGACGAGUGAGCUGGAGAACGCCAUCGGAAUGCAAUGUUAAAGUGAUCCAACCAUGCGGAUGGCUGAUCAAGUGGAAGGUUUCUUGGUAAACAAGUCGUAGUUCCGACCCGUCGGUAAUGUCCCAAGCCGCUAAAUAAAAAGGAUAGAAUAGUUGGCCUGAGAUUACCU
Molecule: long non-coding RNA, 276 nt
Organism: Rhipicephalus microplus (southern cattle tick)
Lineage: Eukaryota; Metazoa; Arthropoda; Arachnida; Ixodida; Ixodidae
Source: RefSeq, a predicted model, not a curated record